Macadamia integrifolia is the source of this 455-nucleotide long non-coding RNA. RefSeq lists it as uncharacterized. NCBI's taxonomy places the organism in Eukaryota, Viridiplantae, Streptophyta, Magnoliopsida, Proteales, Proteaceae. The transcript is spliced from 3 exons. The record is from RefSeq and is a predicted model, not a curated record.
UUCAAGUUUUGUUAUUAUUGAGAGAGGGGAAAGUCUCUCUCUCUCUCUCUCUCUCUCUCUCUCUCUCUCUCUUCGAAGUGCAAAUCAAACUCUCAUUUUCGAAAUUUCGAAAUCUAGAGAAGUGCUUAGAUUAUCGGUUCUUCUCUAAUGGAGAUUCUUUCGAGUCCGAUCAGCAUUUGUUCAAAGGAGAAUCAGAAGAUCUAUCAGGAAUGGUUUAACUUUGCCGACACAGAUGCCGACGGCCGCAUUACGGGAAACGAUGCGACCAAGUUCUUCGCCAUGGCUAAUUUAUCUCGACCAGCACUCAAGCAGGUUUCUUUCUUCAUAGGUGUGGGCAAUUGCGGAUUCCAAACGUCAAGGGUUCCUUGAUUUUAAUGACUUUGUUGUUGCAAUGCAGUUAAUUGCAUUAGCACAAGCAGGACAUGAAAUUGCACAAGAUAUUCUUAGCAAAGAAG